This 75-nucleotide transfer RNA is filed under the name Candidatus Fokinia solitaria. Its description in RNAcentral is "tRNA-Gly". It matches the Rfam family "tRNA". Rfam says of the family: Transfer RNA (tRNA) molecules are approximately 80 nucleotides in length. Their secondary structure includes four short double-helical elements and three loops (D, anti-codon, and T loops). The record is from RNAcentral. Lineage: Bacteria; Pseudomonadati; Pseudomonadota; Alphaproteobacteria; Rickettsiales; Candidatus Midichloriaceae.
GCAGGCGUGGCUCAGUGGUAGAGCGCAACCUUGCCAAGGUUGAAGUCGAGGGUUCGAUUCCCUUCGCCUGCUCCA